CGAGAUUUUGCUUGGCAUGUGUAUGUAUGCAUGCCCUGAAUUUGCUUAGCAUUUUUAUGCAUACAACUAUUGGAAGCUUUUACAUGUCCUGGAACUGAGCUUUUGCAUGCCCUAUGUUUUCUGAAGCUGAGUCUUUUGUUAUUGGCUAGUACUUGAAACAGAGUCGCAGGCCUCCUGCCAUAUAACCAUUUAUGAAGUGCAUAUGUGAUGCCUUAUCUUGUAUUCCUACAAAGAGUCCAGUAUUUUUUUUCAUGUGUAAAAAGUGGCUGACCUGGCAUUACACUGUUAAGUAUUUUGUACACAUCAGGAAUCUUGUUGUAGAUACACACUAAGCUGAAAAUGUUGCUAGCAGAAAUAGGUUUUCUGUUAGCUACGCAUCUGGUUUAAAACAUGGUAUGACUAGUUGCUUUGGAAUAGUAACGCCUUGAUAUUAUCUGAUCCUAUCUCAUGCAUAUUUUAGUUAUUUCUAGACAAAGCUUUAGGAACCGAGUUCACUACAACUCGAAGUCUUGUGCAUGGAGGAGAAUUGAGAUAUUUGUGCAUUCUGUACUAGUCAAAAGGUAUGUGUAGAUAUUCUGCUCAUUCUAGUUCAUGCUGCUACUUUAUUAAGGUCUUCUUUUAUGAGCCUCUACCUUGUGCAAAUAAUAUGAUUAUUUAGUAGCCUGGUUUCAUAGCUUUGAAUCUCAUGUGAAUAAACUAUAUGUCUAGGUGUUUGCUGUUCUUUGCUUAACUAGAUAUCGAAGUAUAGACAACAAGCUCAUGUACAAGAUGGCAAUUAUGAUGGUUAUUUAGUUUAUUUCAUUGGUUCUCAGCAUAUUAAUUGAUUGUAACAUUCUAGCUUUAUUUAAUAAGAAGAUGUAAAAGAAACAACAAGUAAUCUCCAUUUUUUGUUCUACAAUAUAGAUAGUUUACCAAGCUUAUUAACUUAUAGCAGAUCUACCAUCUUCUCCUUUCAGGUUGGCAUCAUGGUUGGAAGAUCUUGUGUGCUACUCUCUACACGAUGUUUCUUCUACAUGAUAGCACUUGACGUCUACAUGAUAGUACUUGAAGUCUACAUGAUGUUUCUUGUAUUCAUAGCUCAAACCAUUUGUUUAGCUUAGUUUGAACAAAAAAUAUUAUUGUCUUACAUGUAAAUAAUGUUUACUAAUGUAGCUGGAUGCUACUGAACGCAUGUACGAAAGUCAAAAUACUAAGUGUUAGUCAUUAUGUGUUUGAGAACUGCCGUUGAAUCUUGAGUGAAUUCCUGUAUGAAUAGAAAUCAAAAGAAAUAUAAAUGCUACCAAAUUCCUGUAUGAAUAGAAAUCGAAAGCAACAUAUACACUACCAG
RNAcentral lists this long non-coding RNA (1327 nucleotides) under Triticum aestivum (bread wheat). RNAcentral describes it as "long non-coding RNA (TAES_LNC025695)". Lineage: Eukaryota; Viridiplantae; Streptophyta; Magnoliopsida; Poales; Poaceae. The record is from RNAcentral.